RNAcentral lists this ribosomal RNA (469 nucleotides) under uncultured bacterium. RNAcentral's name for it is "bacterial SSU rRNA". It matches the Rfam family "Bacterial small subunit ribosomal RNA", at positions 328 to 794 of the family's 1533-position model. The record is from RNAcentral.
GUCCCAGACUCCUACGGGAGGCAGCAGUGGGGAAUAUUGGUCAAUGGCCGGAAGGCUGAACCAGCCAAGCCGCGUGAGGGAGGAAGGCGCAGAGCGUCGCAGACCUCUUUUGCCGGGGGACAAAAGGCCGGACUCGUCCGGUCCUGAGGGUACCCGGAGAAAAAGCAUCGGCUAACUCCGUGCCAGCAGCCGCGGUAAUACGGAGGAUGCGAGCGUUAUCCGGAUUUACUGGGCGUAAAGGGAGCGCAGGCGGCGCGCCAAGUCUGAUGUGAAACCCCGGGGCUCAACCCCGGGCAUGCAUUGGAAACUGGCGGGCUGGAGUGCCGGAGAGGUAAGCGGAAUUCCUAGUGUAGCGGUGAAAUGCGUAGAUAUUAGGAGGAACACCAGUGGCGAAGGCGGCUUACUGGACGGCAACUGACGCUGAGGCUCGAAAGCGUGGGGAGCAAACAGGAUUAGAUACCCGAGUACU